CCGGCACGGGUGAGUAACACGUAUCCAACCUGCCGUCUACUCUUGGACAGCCUUCUGAAAGGAAGAUUAAUACAAGAUGGCAUCAUGAGUCCGCAUGUUCACAUGAUUAAAGGUAUUCCGGUAGACGAUGGGGAUGCGUUCCAUUAGAUAGUAGGCGGGGUAACGGCCCACCUAGUCUUCGAUGGAUAGGGGUUCUGAGAGGAAGGUCCCCCACAUUGGUACUGAGACACGGACCAA
Molecule: ribosomal RNA, 237 nt
Filed under: uncultured bacterium
Lineage: Bacteria
Description: partial 16S ribosomal RNA
Rfam family: Bacterial small subunit ribosomal RNA
Source: RNAcentral